GAUGAACGCUGGCGGCGUGCCUAAUACAUGCAAGUCGAGCGAACGGACGAGAAGCUUGCUUCUCUGAUGUUAGCGGCGGACGGGUGAGUAACACGUGGAUAACCUACCUAUAAGACUGGGAUAACUUCGGGAAACCGGAGCUAAUACCGGAUGAUAUUUUGAACCGCAUGGUUCAAAAGUGAAAGACGGUCUUGCUGUCACUUAUAGAUGGAUCCGCGCUGCAUUAGCUAGUUGGUAAGGUAACGGCUUACCAAGGCAACGAUGCAUAGCCGACCUGAGAGGGUGAUCGGCCACACUGGAACUGGGACACGGUCCAGACUCCUACGGGAGGCAGCAGUAGGGAAUCUUCCGCAAUGGGCGAAAGCCUGACGGAGCAACGCCGCGUGAGUGAUGAAGGUCUUCGGAUCGUAAAACUCUGUUAUUAGGGAAGAACAUAUGUGUAAGUAACUGUGCACAUCUUGACGGCACCUAAUCAGAAAGCCACGGCUAACUACGUG
Molecule: ribosomal RNA, 497 nt
Filed under: uncultured bacterium
Lineage: Bacteria
Description: partial 16S ribosomal RNA
Rfam family: Bacterial small subunit ribosomal RNA
Source: RNAcentral